GUGAGUUGGUGUACGAUUACUGUUACGGCAGAGGAAACUCCUCCCUUCAUACAGGAUGUACGAUCUGGAGAUAGAUAAUCAGAGAUGAUUGGAACCAGUAUAGAAAAAAUCCGAACUAUCAUGAACUGUGAUGAUGUGAGAAUCUGAGGUUGUUAGUAGUGGAAUGGAAAAACUGUCCCGUACGAAGCAAGGCCAAACAAAACUAUAAGCUCCUGUACUUGGUUUAGGUAGGCUGCAAAGUUGAAUAUCGUAAAAACAGAAGGAGGGUUAUUACCAACACAC
RNAcentral lists this RNase P RNA (282 nucleotides) under Nitrososphaerota archaeon. RNAcentral's name for it is "Thaumarchaeota archaeon RNase P RNA component". It matches the Rfam family "Archaeal RNase P". Rfam says of the family: Ribonuclease P (RNase P) is a ubiquitous endoribonuclease, found in archaea, bacteria and eukarya as well as chloroplasts and mitochondria. Its best characterised activity is the generation of mature 5'-ends of tRNAs by cleaving the 5'-leader elements of precursor-tRNAs. The record is from RNAcentral. Lineage: Archaea; Thermoproteati; Nitrososphaerota.